Molecule: unclassified non-coding RNA, 348 nt
Filed under: soil metagenome
Description: partial contains 5.8S ribosomal RNA, internal transcribed spacer 2, and large subunit ribosomal RNA
Rfam family: 5.8S ribosomal RNA (bases 1-120)
Source: RNAcentral
GAUGAAGAACGCAGCGAAACGCGAUAUGUAAUGUGAAUUGCAGAAUUCAGUGAAUCAUCGAGUCUUUGAACGCACAUUGCGCCCCCUGGUAUUCCGGGGGGCAUGCCUGUCCGAGCGUCAUUGCCGCCCUCAAGCACGGCUUGUGUGUUGGGCCCCCGCCCCCCGGCUUCGGGGGGCGGGCCCGAAAGGCAGCGGCGGCACCGCGUCCGGUCCUCGAGCGUAUGGGGCUUCGUCACCCGCUCUGUAGGCCCGGCCGGCGCCCGCCGGCGACCCCAAUCAAUCUUUCCAGGUUGACCUCGGAUCAGGUAGGGAUACCCGCUGAACUUAAGCAUAUCAAUAAGCGGAGGA